This 450-nucleotide ribosomal RNA is filed under the name Araneus stella. RNAcentral describes it as "partial 16S ribosomal RNA". It matches the Rfam family "Bacterial large subunit ribosomal RNA", at positions 1848 to 2625 of the family's 2925-position model. Lineage: Eukaryota; Metazoa; Arthropoda; Arachnida; Araneae; Araneidae. The record is from RNAcentral.
CNUGUAGUAACCUGCUCAUGAACUUUAAAUAGCCGCGGAAAUUUAACCGUGCUAAGGUAGCAUAAUCAUUAGCCUCUUAAUUAGGGGCCAGUAUGAAAGGUAAAACAUUUCAAUUUCUUUAUUAACUAAAUUUUUUUAACUUAAAUUAAGAAUAAAAAUGUUCUUAUAUAUAAAAUAGACGACAAGACCCUUUUGAACUUUACUUUUGUUUAGCUGGGGCAGCUAAAAAAUAAUUAUCUUUUUACCUUUUUUUAUUUAAAUGAUCCAGUAAAACUGAUUAAUGAACAAGUUACCAUAGGGAUAACAGCGUAAUAUUUUUUAAAAGCUCUUAUUUAAAAAAAUGAUUACGACCUCGAUGUUGAAUUAGUGUAACUUUACGAUGCAGUAAUUUUAAAAGUAGGUCUGUUCGACCUUUAAAACACUACAUGAUCUGAGUCAAAACCCGGAGAA